UGAGCAAAUAAACCUCAUAGGAUUGAGAC
Molecule: non-coding RNA, 29 nt
Filed under: Mus musculus (house mouse)
Lineage: Eukaryota; Metazoa; Chordata; Mammalia; Rodentia; Muridae
Source: RNAcentral